GAUCCUGGCUCAGAACGAACGCUGGCGGCAUGGAUUAGGCAUGCAAGUCGAACGGGAGCAGCAAUGCUCCAGUGGCGCAAGGGUGAGGAACACGUGAACAACCUGCCUUCGAGUUGGGGAUAGCUUUUGGAAACGGGAGAUAAUACCGAAUAACAUUACCGGAUCGCAUGAUUUGGUGAUCAAAGCAGCAAUGCGCUUGAAGAGGGGUUCGCGUCCCAUUAGCUAGUUGGUGAGGUAACGGCCCACCAAGGCGAUGAUGGGUAGCUGGUCUGAGAGGACGACCAGCCACAUUGGGACUGAGAUACUGCCCAGACUCCUACGGGAGGCUGCAGUCGAGAAUUUUGGGCAAUGGACGAAAGUCUGAACCCCCAGCAAUGCCGCGUGCGGGAUGAAGGUCUUCGGAUUGUAAACCGCUGUCAAGAGGGACGAAAUAUGACGGUACCUCUGGAGGAAGCCACGGCUAACUACGUGCCAGCCGCUGC
Molecule: ribosomal RNA, 482 nt
Filed under: uncultured bacterium
Lineage: Bacteria
Description: bacterial SSU rRNA
Rfam family: Bacterial small subunit ribosomal RNA
Source: RNAcentral